UACGUAGGGGCGAGCGUUGUCCGGAAUUACUGGGCGUAAGAGCGCGUAGGCGGUCCGUACAUCCCUCGUGAAAGCCGCUGCUCAACUAGCGGAGCCAGGGAGAUGGCGGGUCUAGAGGGUGGUAGAGGCAGGCGGAAGUCCGAAGUAGUGGUGAAAUGCGUAGAGAUCGGGAGGAACAUCCGUGGCGAAGGGCGGCCUGACU
Molecule: ribosomal RNA, 202 nt
Filed under: uncultured bacterium
Lineage: Bacteria
Description: partial 16S ribosomal RNA
Rfam family: Bacterial small subunit ribosomal RNA
Source: RNAcentral